GACGAACGCUGGCGGCGUGCCUAAUACAUGCAAGUAGAACGCUGAAGGAGGAGCUUGCUUCUCUGGAUGAGUUGCGAGCGGGUGAGUAACGCGUAGGUAACCUGCCUGGUAGCGGGGGAUAACUAUUGGAAACGAUAGCUAAUACCGCAUAAGAGUAGAUGUUGCAUGACAUUUGCUUAAAAGGUGCAAUUGCAUCACUACCAGAUGGACCUGCGUUGUAUUAGCUAGUUGGUGAGGUAACGGCUCACCAAGGCGACGAUACAUAGCCGACCUGAGAGGGUGAUCGGCCACACUGGGACUGAGACACGGCCCAGACUCCUACGGGAGGCAGCAGUAGGGAAUCUUCGGCAAUGGACGGAAGUCUGACCGAGCAACGCCGCGUGAGUGAAGAAGGUUUUCGGAUCGUAAAGCUCUGUUGUAAGAGAAGAACGAGUGUGAGAGUGGAAAGUUCACACUGUGACGGUAUCUUACCAGAAAGGGACGGCUAACUACGUG
This 495-nucleotide ribosomal RNA is filed under the name uncultured bacterium. RNAcentral describes it as "partial 16S ribosomal RNA". It matches the Rfam family "Bacterial small subunit ribosomal RNA", at positions 28 to 507 of the family's 1533-position model. The record is from RNAcentral.